This 468-nucleotide ribosomal RNA is filed under the name uncultured bacterium. Its description in RNAcentral is "partial 16S ribosomal RNA". It matches the Rfam family "Bacterial small subunit ribosomal RNA", at positions 28 to 507 of the family's 1533-position model. The record is from RNAcentral.
GAUGAACGCUGGCGGCGUGCUUAACACAUGCAAGUCGAACGGAAAGGCCCUGCGUUUGUGGGGUGCUCGAUUGGCGAAGGGGUGAGUAACACGUGAGUAACCUGCCCUUGACAUUGGGAGAACUUCAGGAAACUGGGGCUAAUACCGGAGAGGAGCUCUUGCUGCAUGGGGGUGGUUGGAAAGUUUCGGCGGUUGGGGAUGGACUCGCUGCUUAUCAGCUUGUUGGUGUGGUAGGCGCUUACCAAGGCUUUGACGGGUAGCCUGCCUGAGAGCGUGACCGGCCACAUGGCGCCUGAGAUAGGCACCAGUAUGGUACGGGAGGCAGCAGGGGGGAAUAUUGCACAGCGGGCGGAAGCCUGAGGUAGAAAUGCCGCGUGCGGGAUGACGGCUUUCGGGUUGUAAACAGCUGUCGAAGGUGACGAAGCGUGAGUGACGGUAAUGGGUAAAGAAGCACCGGCUAACUACGUG